UACGAGGGGGGCGAGCGUUGUUCGGAAUUAUUGGGCGUAAAGCGCACGUAGGCGGUUUGUUAAGUCGGAUGUGAAAUCCCUCGGCUCAACUGAGGAAGUGCAUCCGAAACUGGCAGGCUUGAGUACUAAAGAGGGUCGCGGAAUUCCCGGUGUAGAGGUGAAAUUCGUAGAUAUCGGGAGGAACACCGGUGGCGAAGGCGGCGACCUGGGUAGAUACUGACGCUGAGGUGCGAAAGCGUGGGGAGCAAACAGG
RNAcentral lists this ribosomal RNA (253 nucleotides) under uncultured bacterium. RNAcentral's name for it is "partial 16S ribosomal RNA". It matches the Rfam family "Bacterial small subunit ribosomal RNA", at positions 524 to 776 of the family's 1533-position model. The record is from RNAcentral.